CACGUAGGGCGCGAGCGUUGUCCGGAAUUAUUGGGCGUAAAGAGCUCGUAGGCGGCCUGUUGCGUCCGCUGUGAAAGCCCGGGGCUUAACCCCGGGUCGGCAGUGGAUACGGGCAGGCUAGAGGUAGGUAGGGGAGACUGGAAUUCCUGGUGUAGCGGUGAAAUGCGCAGAUAUCAGGAAGAACACCCGUGGCGAAGGCGGCUCUCUGGGACGGUACUGACGCUGAGACGCGAAAGCGUGGGGAGCGAACAGG
Molecule: ribosomal RNA, 253 nt
Filed under: uncultured bacterium
Lineage: Bacteria
Description: partial 16S ribosomal RNA
Rfam family: Bacterial small subunit ribosomal RNA
Source: RNAcentral